RNAcentral lists this microRNA precursor (103 nucleotides) under Manihot esculenta (cassava). Lineage: Eukaryota; Viridiplantae; Streptophyta; Magnoliopsida; Malpighiales; Euphorbiaceae. The record is from RNAcentral.
ACCUGUAGAAUGCAGCCAAGAAUGACUUGCCGGAGUUUUCUUGAUAGAGCUCCGGUUGGUGUAAAGAACUUCGUCCGGCAGGUUGUUCUUGGCUACAUUCAGU